This 497-nucleotide ribosomal RNA is filed under the name uncultured bacterium. RNAcentral describes it as "partial 16S ribosomal RNA". It matches the Rfam family "Bacterial small subunit ribosomal RNA", at positions 28 to 507 of the family's 1533-position model. The record is from RNAcentral.
GAUGAACGCUGGCGGCGUGCCUAAUACAUGCAAGUCGAGCGAACAGACGAGGAUCUUGCUCCUCUGACGUUAGCGGCGGACGGGUGAGUAACACGUGGAUAACCUACCUAUAAGACUGGGAUAACUUCGGGAAACCGGAGCUAAUACCGGAUAAUAUAUUGAACCGCAUGGUUCAAUAGUGAAAGACGGUUUUGCUGUCACUUAUAGAUGGAUCCGCGCCGCAUUAGCUAGUUGGUAAGGUAACGGCUUACCAAGGCGACGAUGCGUAGCCGACCUGAGAGGGUGAUCGGCCACACUGGAACUGAGACACGGUCCAGACUCCUACGGGAGGCAGCAGUAGGGAAUCUUCCGCAAUGGGCGAAAGCCUGACGGAGCAACGCCGCGUGAGUGAUGAAGGUCUUCGGAUCGUAAAACUCUGUUAUUAGGGAAGAACAAAUGUGUAAGUAACUAUGCACGUCUUGACGGUACCUAAUCAGAAAGCCACGGCUAACUACGCG